UAUUAGGCUGGUGCAAAAAUAAUUGCAGUUUUUGCUAUUACUUUUAAUGGUGAAAACUUCAAUUACCUUUGCACGAAUCUAAUA
Molecule: microRNA precursor, 84 nt
Filed under: Nomascus leucogenys (northern white-cheeked gibbon)
Lineage: Eukaryota; Metazoa; Chordata; Mammalia; Primates; Hylobatidae
Description: miRNA (ENSNLEG00000031359.1)
Source: RNAcentral